Salvelinus sp. IW2-2015 is the source of this 384-nucleotide non-coding RNA. The record is from RefSeq and is a predicted model, not a curated record. NCBI's taxonomy places the organism in Eukaryota, Metazoa, Chordata, Actinopteri, Salmoniformes, Salmonidae.
GGUAAUAACCACCRCUCUUCUUGUGUCAGUCUACAGAUGCAGAGGCUGCAGGUCCUGGGGUGAAGCAGGAGAGGUCUGAAGGAGAGGACCRACGGCACAGCAGAGACAUCCAGACUGGAGCGCACCCUGUAGCCACAGAAGACCCCACCACCACCCCAGCACUGCCCAGGACCAGACACAGCAWCACGGAGGAGGAGGGUCCAGAGUUACUGCUGAUGAAGGAGGGGUGUGAGGAGGGUCUGGGUAACCCUGAGGGGACCAUGGUCAUGGAGGACAACCAGUCUACACCUCCCCCUGAACUCACAGAGGAACCAGCUGAGCAGCACAGGACUACACACAGUCUCACUGAGUCAGUAGACAUGGAGGAUGGGAAGCCUGAUCUGC